Electrophorus electricus (electric eel) is the source of this 1608-nucleotide non-coding RNA. Lineage: Eukaryota; Metazoa; Chordata; Actinopteri; Gymnotiformes; Gymnotidae. The record is from RefSeq and is a predicted model, not a curated record.
AUUAUUAUUGAUGUAAUAACAAAUAAUAUCAGAAUUCUAAUCUUAUAAACAUUAUUUAAACAAACUUUGUAACCUUAUCAACAUUUUAGUAUGUGGGCCAUUUCUUCUUCCUCGUAGGACUGAAUAUAUAAAUGAUUCCCUUUAAUAGUUUAAUGCCAACUUGGCAUCCUGUCAGCGCAUGUGAAUGAAUCACAGGUGGGGAACAUCAGUCCCGUCACUGCUGGACCAUGGGCAGGACAGUCCAGUUAAUACAGGACCAUGGGCAGGACAGUCGAGGCUUGUUUAAUGUGCGCUGUAGCCAUGGCUCUAACGUUCGCUCACCCGAAUACCGUGGAAACUCCAAAGAAAGCAUCCCUGGUGCGUUUGCGUCUGCAUGUCCUCCACAGGCUGCAUCCUUCUCUCCAGACAACCAUCGUGGACUCUUGGUGCUGUAUUCUCCUCUUUCAUUUGAGGCUGCCCCUUUCACAUCACAUCUUCGUACAUUUUUGUUUACUUUUGUCAGAACAGUGUGUUAUUUUUUUAAAUUUGUAGCUCAGUACGGAGGAAGAAAGAUAAUGUGAAUAUAUUGUUUUUAACAAUGAAGUGUACUGAUACGCACGCACUUUGAGAUGCUGAACACAACGGAGCGAGCUGUCUGAACCGACCAACACCUGCACCUCGGCUCCGACCUGUCGGUCCAGUGCACUGCGACCCAAACUCCUGACAUCCUGCCGAUGGGCCUUUCUAACGCAACCCACCCAACUUUGUUUUUUUUUGUUUGUUUGUUUUUUUUAAUGGAUACUGUCAGACUGCGAUGGUUCUUGUAUCUAAAGCCUUGUCUUGUUAUUUUCGUGCAUCUGAGCCAGAGUCUUACAUGGGACUUCCCUGAUCAUCUGUACAGCUAUAAGCCUUUACACAUCUGCUGAAACGGAUACAUCCAGCCCCUGUCCGACCCCACAGAUUAAGACAAAUCCCCGACAGGUGCAUGAAACUCAUGAGAACCUUACAGGCCACGCCUGCCCUUGUGCAAAGAGAACUGCUAAACGUUUGUGAAAUUUCUUGUGAAUUUUGCAUGCACGUCCUGAUUUUGAAAACAACCCCCAGUGUCAGCACUUAUAGCGACCGUUCGUGUGCAGCUAGAGAUGCAGCUAUGCCCCAACACACCUGGAUGGUCUUUUAUAAAGCAAGGCUCCUCUGCAAGAUUAAUCCCUCAAGCCCAAAGUUAGCGCUGUCCAGUGGGUAUCUCUCUUACCCCUACUCCUACUGGGCAAUCCUGACUUUUGGCUUAUCUGGCUGAGUGAUGAUUCGUGUUUUGUGAAACCAUCCCGUUAUCUAAAAUUCUCAAACAAACCAGCCUUUUGGCCACUGGAGUGGAGGCCAAAUUGAUGUAACCUUUUUGUGUACUGCUGGCUUAAGUGUUUUGUGUGAACAUGGAUCAGCCGGGUUAGAUUGGGUUGUGGCUGCAUUUAAGUGGAUCACUCUUCCCCAGUGUGCUGCACCUUUGCAAUAUCCUGCUCAUGAGAAAAAUGGUCAAAGACGAUAAGCACAAGAAGUAAAUACGAAAAGCUAAAAUGAAAUUAAUAAUGGGUCACUACAAUCUACAAAAGAAUUAAAAAGCACUUGGACUUA